UCGAUCUCAAAUCAAGUAAGACUACCCGCUGAACUU
RNAcentral lists this ribosomal RNA (36 nucleotides) under Mortierella polycephala. Its description in RNAcentral is "partial 28S ribosomal RNA". Lineage: Eukaryota; Fungi; Mortierellomycota; Mortierellomycetes; Mortierellales; Mortierellaceae. RNAcentral also lists the same sequence under 69 other names. The record is from RNAcentral.